UACGUAGGAGGCAAGCGUUGUCCGGAAUUACUGGGCGUAAAGCGCGUGUAGGUGGUGGGACAAGUCUGCUGUGAAAGCGCCUGGCUUAACCGGGCGAGGUCGGCGGAAACUGUCGCACUCGAGGACGGUAGAGGGGGGGUGGAAUUCCCGGUGUAGUGGUGAAAUGCGUAGAGAUCGGGAGGAACACCUGUGGGCGAAGGCGGCCCCCCUGGGCCGGCCCCUGAC
RNAcentral lists this ribosomal RNA (225 nucleotides) under uncultured bacterium. Its description in RNAcentral is "partial 16S ribosomal RNA". It matches the Rfam family "Bacterial small subunit ribosomal RNA", at positions 524 to 744 of the family's 1533-position model. The record is from RNAcentral.